This 83-nucleotide transfer RNA is filed under the name Planctomycetota bacterium. Its description in RNAcentral is "Planctomycetes bacterium (groundwater metagenome) tRNA-Leu". It matches the Rfam family "tRNA". Rfam says of the family: Transfer RNA (tRNA) molecules are approximately 80 nucleotides in length. Their secondary structure includes four short double-helical elements and three loops (D, anti-codon, and T loops). RNAcentral also lists the same sequence under 2 other names. The record is from RNAcentral. Lineage: Bacteria; Pseudomonadati; Planctomycetota.
GCCGGAGUGGCGGAAUGGCAGACGCGCUGGAUUCAAAAUCCAGUGGCCUUCGGGCUGUGUGGGUUCAAGUCCCACCUCCGGUA